AGCAGCCGCGGUAAUUCCAGCUCCAAUAGCGUAUAUUAAAGUUGUUGCAGUUAAAAAGCUCGUAGUUGAAUUUCGAGAUCAGUACGCUGGUCGUGCCUUCGGUAUGUACUGGUGUCACUGGUUUCUCCCUUCUGAAGAACCGUUAUGUCAUUUAUUUGGUGUCGUGGGGAAUCAGGACUGUUACUUUGAAAAAAUUAGAGUGUUUAAAGCAGGCUCACACUUGAAUACAUUAGCAUGGAAUAAUGAAAUAGGACGUUUGAUUCUAUUUUGUUGGUUUCUAGGAUCGACGUAAUGAUUAAUAGGGAUAGUUGGGGGCAUUAGUAUUCAAUUGUCAGAGGUGAAAUUCUUGGAUUUAUUGAAGACUAACUACUGCGAAAGCAUUUGCCAAGGAUGUUUUCAUUAAUCAAGAACGAAAGUUAGGGGAUCGAAGACGAUCAGAUACCGUCGUAGUCUUAACCAUAAACUAUGCCGACUAGGGAUCGGAUGAUGUUAAUUUUUUAAUGACUCA
This 508-nucleotide ribosomal RNA is filed under the name uncultured Glomeraceae. Its description in RNAcentral is "SSU rRNA". It matches the Rfam family "Eukaryotic small subunit ribosomal RNA", at positions 569 to 1078 of the family's 1831-position model. The record is from RNAcentral. Lineage: Eukaryota; Fungi; Glomeromycota; Glomeromycetes; Glomerales; Glomeraceae.